GGCAGCCCUGGAAUCUAGUGCAAACCGCGCGUCUGGCCCCUCCUGCUUCCUUUUCACAUUGCUUUGCAGUCCCGGGCGUCCCCAGUUCUCUUGCUGCGCUCCGCUCCACUCUGCAGUCCCGGUGGGCGAAGGGUGAGGAGUAAGGGACCUAGAGGGGUAGGGAGUUGGAGCGGGGGGCGCCGGGUUGUUUCACUGCUGCGCCCGUCGCCUGCUGACGUUUAGGUCUCCCAGACCUGGUGGCCGACCCCUACUACAUCCAGGCGUCCACGUACGUGCAGAAGAUGUCCAUGUACAACCUGAGAUGCGCGGCGGAGGAAAACUGUCUGGCCAGUACAGCAUACAGGGCAGAUGUCAGAGAUUAUGAUCACAGGGUGCUGCUCAGAUUUCCCCAAAGAGUGAAAAACCAAGGGACAUCAGAUUUCUUACCCAGCCGACCAAGAUAUUCCUGGGAAUGGCACAGUUGUCAUCAACAUUACCACAGUAUGGAUGAGUUUAGCCACUAUGACCUGCUUGAUGCCAAUACCCAGAGAAGAGUGGCUGAAGGCCACAAAGCAAGUUUCUGUCUUGAAGACACAUCCUGUGACUAUGGCUACCACAGGCGAUUUGCAUGUACUGCACACACACAGGGAUUGAGUCCUGGCUGUUAUGAUACCUAUGGUGCAGACAUAGACUGCCAGUGGAUUGAUAUUACAGAUGUAAAACCUGGAAACUAUAUCCUAAAGGUCAGUGUAAACCCCAGCUACCUGGUUCCUGAAUCUGACUAUACCAACAAUGUUGUGCGCUGUGACAUUCGCUACACAGGACAUCAUGCGUAUGCCUCAGGCUGCACAAUUUCACCGUAUUAGAAGGCAAAGCAAAACUCCCAAUGGAUAAAUCAGUGCCUGGUGUUCUGAAGUGGGAAAAAAUAGAUUAACUUCAGUAGGAUUUAUGUAUUUUGAAAAACAGAACAGAAAACAACAAAAGAAUUUUUGUUUGGACUGUUUUCAAUAACAAAGCACAUAACUGGAUUUUGAACGCUUAAGUCAUCAUUACUUGGGAAAUUUUUAAUGUUUAUUAUUUACAUCACUUUGUGAAUUAACACAGUGUUUCAAUUCUGUAAUUACAUAUUUGACUCUUUCAAAGAAAUCCAAAUUUCUCAUGUUCCUUUUGAAAUUAUAGUGCAAAAUGGUCAGUAUUAUCUAAAUGAAUGAGCCAAAAUGACUUUGAACUGAAACUUUUCUAAAGUGCUGGAACUUUAGUGAAACAUAAUAGUAAUGGGUUUAUAUAUGUCAUAGCAUAGAUGAAUUUAGAAACAAUGCUCCUACUGUUUAAAUACAUAUGGACACAUCUGGUGCUGAUAAAGAAACAAACACAUUACCAUUGGUGUCAAGAAAUAUUACUAUAUAGCAGAGAAAUGGCAAUACAUGUACUCAGAUAGUUACAUCCCUAUAUAAAAAUUAUGUUUACAUUUAAAAAAUAAGUACAUAACUUUCUUUCUUUCAAGUGCACAAUUUCAUUUUGACUUGAGUCAAGUUUUGUUUUGGAACAAAUUAAGUAAGGGAGCUACCCAAUCCUGUCUGAUAUUUCUUGAGGCUGCCCUCUAUCAUUUUAUCUUUCCCAUGGGCAGAGAUGUUGUAAGUGGGAUUCUUAAUAUCACCAUUCUU
This 1643-nucleotide small RNA is filed under the name Pongo abelii (Sumatran orangutan). Its description in RNAcentral is "retained intron". The record is from RNAcentral. Lineage: Eukaryota; Metazoa; Chordata; Mammalia; Primates; Hominidae.